AGUCGCGUGGUCUAAUGGUUAUGAUUUCUCGUUCACAAUUAGUGGGCUUUCUUCUACUACGGUAGUUCCGAGAAGGUUCCCGGUUCGAUCCCGGGCGCGACUA
This is a non-coding RNA of Aspergillus leporis, 103 nucleotides long. The record is from the annotation of a GenBank genome assembly. Lineage: Eukaryota; Fungi; Ascomycota; Eurotiomycetes; Eurotiales; Aspergillaceae.